Non-coding RNA from Hyla sarda, 82 nucleotides. NCBI's taxonomy places the organism in Eukaryota, Metazoa, Chordata, Amphibia, Anura, Hylidae. The record is from the annotation of a RefSeq genome assembly.
GCUGUGAUGGCCGAGUGGUUAAGGCGUUAGACUCGAAAUCCAAUGGGGUUUCCCCGCACAGGUUCAAAUCCUGUUUACAGCG